Molecule: non-coding RNA, 29 nt
Filed under: Callithrix jacchus (white-tufted-ear marmoset)
Lineage: Eukaryota; Metazoa; Chordata; Mammalia; Primates; Cebidae
Also listed under: 1 other name
Source: RNAcentral
UGUCAAAUACUGGCCGAGGCCAAGGGAGA